This is a long non-coding RNA of Passer montanus (Eurasian tree sparrow), 766 nucleotides long. RefSeq lists it as uncharacterized. The transcript is spliced from 3 exons. The record is from RefSeq and is a predicted model, not a curated record. NCBI's taxonomy places the organism in Eukaryota, Metazoa, Chordata, Aves, Passeriformes, Passeridae.
GAUCUGUUUUCCUGACCUUUUGGAUAGACUUUGGCCUUGCAUUCAGUCAAGAAUUAAAAAGAUUACCUAAAAGCCUAUGCUCCUCAGUGCUUUUCACCAUGAGAGCUCAAUAAAUACUUGAAAGCAGAUCACUGACUGGUGAAGAAAAUAUACUUUCAAGAAAGUAUGAAAAAUUCCCAUUGGAAAGAUCAGUGAUGAGCUGGCACCUUUGGAGAGAGGAAAAUAUUCUAUGCAAGUGAGGAUUCAAAUUCCCAUCAGCGAUUGUGUUGGUGAUGUAAAUGUGUGUGUCAGAGACCAUGAUGUCUUCACCCUGUCCCAGCUGCCUGUGUCAGCUCUUGCACAGAUCUGUGCCAUCACUCUGCCAAGGCUGGAGAGAGCUGGGUGCCAGCUGAGGAGUCCAGAGAGGAAUACUGUGGGUGUCUGCUGGGAAGCUGGAGGCACAGAGCUGUGCAGCAGGAAAGGGGGAGAGUGCAAGCAGGUACUGCUCACCCAGCACAACAGGCCCUGCCACUGUCAUCACCUGUCGUGCUGCAUGGGAAGGAAUUCAGAUACUGGCUGUAAGGUCACUGCACAGCUCACUGUGGGCUCCUGAGCCUCACCUGGCACCUGCUACUGCUGUAGUACAAGUAGCAGUGGUGGGCACAGGGAAUAGGGCAGAAUUUUUUUCUCUUAUACUGUUUUGAGUCUUUAAUGUCAAUUAUGGCAACAAAUAUCUGCAGUUUAGGAGUGCUCCAUGUGUCUACCCUAGUGAUGAACUACAAAGAGA